CGAGUCACAUAGCAAUAUGUGGCAUACGGCUCAGUAACACGUAGUCAACAUGCCCAGGGGACGUGGAUAACCUCGGGAAACUGAGGAUAAACCGCGAUAGGUCAUCACUUCUGGAAUGGGUAAUGACUUAAAUCUAUAUGGCCCCUGGAUUGGACUGCGGCCGAUCAGGCUGUUGGUGAGGUAAUGGCCCACCAAACCUGUAACCGGUACGGGCUCUGAGAGGAGGAGCCCGGAGAUGGGCACUGAGACAAGGGCCCAGGCCCUAUGGGGCGCAGCAGGCGCGAAACCUCUGCAAUAGGCGAAAGCUUGACAGGGUUACUCUGAGUGAUUUCCGUUAAGGAGAUCUUUUGGCACCUCUAAAAAUGGUGCAGAAUAAGGGGUGGGCAAGUCUGGUGUCAGCCGCCGCGGUAAUACCAGCACCCCGAGUGGUCGGGACGUUUAUUGGGCCUAAAGCAUCCGUAGCCGGUUCUACAAGUCUUCCGUUAAAUCCACCUGCUUAACAGAUGGGCUGCGGAAGAUACUAUAGAGCUAGGAGGCGGGAGAGGCAAGCGGUACUCGAUGGGUAGGGGUAAAAUCCGUUGAUCCAUUGAAGACCACCAGUGGCGAAGGCGGCUUGCCAGAACGCGCUCGACGGUGAGGGAUGAAAGCUGGGGGAGCAAACCGGAUUAGAUACCCGGGUAGUCCCAGCUGUAAACGAUGCAGACUCGGUGAUGAGUUGGCUUAUUGCUAACUCAGUGCCGCA
This 742-nucleotide ribosomal RNA is filed under the name uncultured archaeon. RNAcentral describes it as "bacterial SSU rRNA". It matches the Rfam family "Archaeal small subunit ribosomal RNA", at positions 54 to 805 of the family's 1478-position model. The record is from RNAcentral.